RNAcentral lists this ribosomal RNA (481 nucleotides) under uncultured bacterium. Its description in RNAcentral is "partial 16S ribosomal RNA". It matches the Rfam family "Bacterial small subunit ribosomal RNA", at positions 28 to 523 of the family's 1533-position model. The record is from RNAcentral.
GACGAACGCUGGCGGCGUGCUUAACACAUGCAAGUCGAGCAGAAAGGCCACUUCGGUGGUACUCGAGCGGCGAACGGGUGAGUAACACGUGAGUAAUCUGCCCCUGGCUUUGGGAUAGCCACCGGAAACAGUGAUUAAUACCGGAUACGACCACUUCUUGCAUGGGAUGGUGGUGGAAAGUUUUUUCGGCCAGGGAUGUGCUCGCGGCCUAUCAGCUUGAUGGUGAGGUAAUGGCUCACCAUGGCUUCGACGGGUAGCCGGCCUGAGAGGGUGACCGGUCACACUGGGACUGAGACACGGCCCAGACUCCUACGGGAGGCAGCAGUGGGGAAUAUUGGACAAUGGGCGGAAGCCUGAUCCAGCAACGCCGCGUGAGGGAUGACGGCCUUCGGGUUGUAAACCUCUUUCAGCAGGGACGAAGCGCAAGUGACGGUACCUGCAGAAGAAGCGCCGGCCAACUACGUGCCAGCAGCCGCCGUAA